GCCGGAGUGGCGAAAUUGGUAGACGCAGGGGACUCAAAAUCCCCCGGGUAAAACCGUGCCGGUUCGAGUCCGGCCCCCGGCA
This 82-nucleotide transfer RNA is filed under the name Methylibium sp. NZG. It matches the Rfam family "tRNA". From Rfam's summary of the family: Transfer RNA (tRNA) molecules are approximately 80 nucleotides in length. Their secondary structure includes four short double-helical elements and three loops (D, anti-codon, and T loops). Further hydrogen bonds mediate the characteristic L-shaped molecular structure. tRNAs have two regions of fundamental functional importance: the anti-codon, which is responsible for specific mRNA codon recognition, and the 3' end, to which the tRNAs corresponding amino acid is attached (by aminoacyl-tRNA synthetases). tRNAs cope with the degeneracy of the genetic code in two manners: having more than one tRNA (with a specific anti-codon) for a particular amino acid; and 'wobble' base-pairing, i.e. permitting non-standard base-pairing at the 3rd anti-codon position. Lineage: Bacteria; Pseudomonadati; Pseudomonadota; Betaproteobacteria; Burkholderiales; Sphaerotilaceae. The record is from Rfam by way of RNAcentral.